Molecule: long non-coding RNA, 2370 nt
Organism: Athalia rosae (coleseed sawfly)
Lineage: Eukaryota; Metazoa; Arthropoda; Insecta; Hymenoptera; Athaliidae
Exons: 3
Source: RefSeq, a predicted model, not a curated record
AUUAGGAUUGCCACCGUCGUCGGUUGAGUAAUGAUGCGGGCUCUCCUCUUACUUUACCCGAUAUUUAAAAAGAUCCAGUUCGAUCGUCUCGUCCGGGUAAGACAGAUUAACGCACGGAUCGCCUCGAGCUUUCCUCGUACGAAAUAUUAGCCACCGGAAAUUUUUAGACCACCCUCCCUACCCCCAGUUUGACGAUGAACUGACAGCUCCUCGCGUGUACCCCACGUCUUCAAACAGGACCCGAGGCUCCAUCAGCUGUCCCCCUAAAUCGUAUAAUAUACGAAUCCCAGCUUGUAAACGCCACAUAUCGCCGUCGCCGCAUCGUUUGAAAUCAAGUUCCAAACGAUAUUGUACGAUGGUCAAAGGUAAAACGCCGAUAUAUUCGCUCCUAAUUUAAAUCGCACAGGUGCGACCUGGCCGGAGUAACCGUACCUUGAAAUCCGAUCGCCUGAUCACUGUGAAUUAUAUUUGAAAUAUUUCGUGAGGAUGGAAGACUUCCGGCGGAGGUUGAGACGUAGGAAAUGAAACAUCGAAAGACCCUGUUAUGGAAGAUAACGAUGAAGCGUUAUUCUCAAUUUUCUCUUUCGAACGAAUCAUAAUAUCAUCGCUGAAUCCCUGCCAUAUUCUGGUGACGCGUUGAAGCUUUUGACGCGUCAAAUAUACGGCAGACGUAGUAGUACCCCUAGAAUUACACACGUUGUGCACUACAGACGAGGGUCUCCAAGGUGGAACAGAUUUAGAGCCAGCAAAACUAGACCUGUUCUGCUUGAUGCCAACUUUGCGUUGUCAGCCACAACACGAGCGAAUCGUUCGCACUACGGCAAAGCUAGACUAUAUUUGGGACGUUGAGCCACUAGAAUCAGCUGCCGUGCAGACGCGAUGAUGUCGACGCUGACGUUCGUCCCACCAGCGCGACGAAAUCUGCACAUAUUUGAAUGGUCAUUGCGUUUGGUAUAAUACGGCGUUACUUAACUGGCCCAGUUAUCCCAGUUGGCCUACAGGUCGGAUGGGUCAGACCCAUCAUCCGAGUAUGUAUUUUUAGUGAAACCGAUACGAACUACAUCGCAAAUUGUCCCCCUACUACUUUCAAUUCGAAGGUAAUCAAGGUGGAAGAGAUAAUCUAGAAAUCUAUUUAUAUUAUGCUCAAUGCACGUAACACGUGCCUCGCGGAUCACCCAUACUUACAAAAUUUUACUUGGCAGUUCGGCCGAUCCAAAGUCAAGAUAUUCUACGUAUUCACCUAAAUGCAACGAAAGUAUACCCGAGAAAAAGUGCAUAUGGUCGCACUUCCUCGUAGCGUAGGUAUAAUGUAUCGUAAUUUUUCUUGAAAAUCCAUUCAUUUCACUAUCAAAUUUUUAUUGGAAUCACGUCGAUUCGCGAGACUUGUAUGGUUAUUUGUUAUAUUUUUCUUACACCGGUAAACACCCAAUUACGUACCCGUAGAUAACGCGAUACGCGCUGUACCUAUCUAUAGUGCGGUGUCGAGAAAAAUAACAAUAUACGUUGAAAAAAUAAAAAUAGAUUAAAUAUUUCGAAAUGCAACUUAAUGCAUGCAAUGUCUGGAUUCCGGCCAGAACCAUCAUUUUUAGUGUUCGGAAAUGAGUUUUAGUCCCAAGCUACUUGUGUGUACCUAAGAUCCUAUCCUAUACGUAUGUGCUUCGAACGGGUAAGACCUAAACAGCGAGUCGAAAACGAAAUAAUCAGGGGUUCGAGGGUCCGUGAUUGAUGUGCAAUUUUGUUUGAAGAAAGUAACGAUCGCUGCCUCGCGAUUUCUGGUUUUUUAAUGAUCAAUAAUCAAUCGAUCAUUCCUCCGAUAAUUUCGACGACCAUAUACAAAAGACGAGCGACGACACCAGCUAUACAGCGAUCAUCCGGCGAUGAGCGUUACUGUUGAUUCUGGCGACGAUCCAUGCCCACCGCUAGCUCCCGGUAACGGGGUAUAACGGCGUAAGCAGAAUCAUCGGCCACGACGACGUCGGAUACCACCUCGGAAAUGGUCACGGGCCGCUUAAUACGACUCAAAACCUCUGGAGUUUGUCAAAUUUAUUACCAGCCGUUAACCACAGCUACUGUUUACUCCUGUCGUCAGAGUUGUUCGCCCGAUUGGAGGGGUUGAAUCGCAGAUUCUCUGCUCUUAGCUUGGGGAUUAUUAUUCGCCUGAUUUUCACUACCGCGCAAAACAAACGUGACGAACAAUUAACGGCCGAGUUCAGGUACGUUACACGACGUGGACGCGCUCGCGGACAGGAAAAGUUUGGAGCAAGUAACAAAUUUUUUUUCACACCCGAUCGAAUAUCGGUAAAACGGAAGAGAAAAAUUGAUAGGGCGCCGUUGCUCUGGUGUGAACCCAAAACCCGCAAAUGUGUUCAC